Molecule: non-coding RNA, 3862 nt
Organism: Phoenix dactylifera (date palm)
Lineage: Eukaryota; Viridiplantae; Streptophyta; Magnoliopsida; Arecales; Arecaceae
Source: RefSeq, a predicted model, not a curated record
CGAGAACUAGUCUAUUGGGGAUUCAAAUUGGGAGAGCGACUAGAAGGAUUGUGGCACAAGUUAUCUUAGAUUAGGGUUAUUUAAGUUGAUUUGUUAUUAUGGACAUUUAUUAUGAUUGGUGGACUUUUAUUAUUUUAAGAACUAGGUUUCUGCAUGUUGGUAAAUGAUUAUUCUGCUGCAUAUUUAGACUUGUGAGACAUUAUGACUUGAGUUAGUCAAUGGAAUAAGAUUCCAAUUUAUUCUCUUAAAUUAUUUUGGAAAUUCAUAAUUGAGGUGUUUGGUUUAGAUGCCUUGCAUGCUUGUGGGGAGAGUUUCCUACGGGUGUGCGGCGGUUGGCGCGACCCCCGGCCCGCGAUCUCGGGACGGGGGCGUGACAACUUAAGUGGUAUCAGAGCGUAGGUUGAUAAAAUCUAAGACAAAGAAUCUGACAUAAGAUGAGUGUAGGUGGAUAAACACUAAGGGCAUUGGACGUGAAUCCAUGUCAAUUGCAUUGUAAGCUACUUUCAAGAUUUUCUAUUAAGCCUUGUGAUAGAUUAUGUAUGAGAAGGUUACUAGGAAAUUAUGAUUGAAUUUACUUAUGAGGUUUGAUACAUUAUGGAAGGUUGGGCAAUCUAUGAAUCAAGUUAUAAUUAGUUAGAUGUGGAUCUAAAUUAAGUGCAAAAGGAUUGGCCAUAGAAUAUUAUCGUGCAUUAUGAUUAUUUAUUAUUUAAGUGAACUUGUAAACUCAAAAGUUGAUAUGGAGGUAUACUAUGAUUUUGCUUAAUUUUGAAGAUAAUUUUUUUUGAGGCAAAUUAAGAUCCAUUUAUAUAAAGUUGUUUAAGAUUUGGGCUAUGAAACCUUUUUACAGUGCUUGAUUAAAUAUUCUUCGAGGAUUGAAAACUGUAUGUGGAUCAUGUAUGAAACUCCUGUGUAGAUGGAGAAUAUAUUUGGGAUAAAAUUCUAGAAUUUAUUCUUUGGCUUUACCGAGAAUUUGAAAUUUUAGAUCUUUUCAAAUUACAAUAUAGAUUGGGAUUUUGAUUGGAAGUAAUUUAGUAAAUUAUGAGAAUACUGGUUGUUUAAAUUAUUUUAAGAUGAUCAACGAUAUUAACUCUAUGAUUGGAAAAUAUUUUCUGAUGGGUUUCCUUGUUAAGGAGAAUUUCGUUGUCAAAGAAAAGAAUAGUGUUUUUGAUUUUGACUGGAUAUUAUCAUGUUAUUAAUAGGUUCUUCUAUCUGUUGUAAAAAGAGAGAGAGAGAGAGAGAGAGAGAGAGAGAGAGAGAGAAAUCUGGCAUCCCAAGUCUAGGAUUAAUGGUUUCUACAUUAGCUGAUCUUGGAUUUGGAAUGUUUUAGCAUAGAUCUCUUUUCUCUUAAAUUUGUAGCUUAUGCUUUUGACAGAAUUAAGAAAUAAUUAUCAAUCUUGAAGAAAUAAUUUUAUUGGAGAUUGUAAAGUAUUCAUCUCUGUGGAUUAUUAUUAAUUUAAAUUAUCGUCUUUGGAUCCAAAUAAUAGAUCUUGUUCCUGUCUAUCAGAGACUAUGUGAUGUAUAUAAAACUUCAAUUCAAAGUUUGGAUUUAAGCCGAUCUAGGGUCUUUUGUCAAUAUUGUUGCGGUUGCUGAUAAAAAUCUAGAUUUGCAUAAAGAAUUUGUAUUUUAGAGGCUUACAUGGUUAUGAUGAAGGAUCUUUGAUAAAUGCUAAAGAUCUCGAUGAAGAAAACGUUAGGAGGGAUGGUUGAGUUGGUUUUACUCAUUUGUAUUGAUUUAACGCCUUCUAAUUUGGACGAGCAUUGAGAGAAUUCUUCUGGUUGAUUUUACGUGGAGUUUGACUUAGAAUCCUCUAGUUGAACUGAUAAGAGAAUUAAGAUUCAAUUAAUUUUGACCCGAGGGUGAAUCUAGACGGAUGGCUGGAGGUAAAGUCGGGGACGAGAAUCAAAGAUUUCUUUUUAGGCUUUACGUGGAAAUUGAAAUUUUGGAUCUCUUUAGUUCAUAAUACAAAAUAGUAUUUUGAUCAAAAAAUUAUUAGUGAAUCCAAAGAAUUUUGGUAGUUUGAAUCAGAGUGCGCAACGAAAGCGUAGUGGUCUGAACUAUUUUUCUAAGUUGGUCAGAAGUAUUAUUCCUUUAAUUCGGCAAGUUUUAAUAACAAAAGACUUGAUUUGAUUUUGAAUUUUUGGAUGUCGCUGCACUAUCUUAGGUUCUCUAAUUUUAUGUCAUGCUAAGGAAAUGAUUAACAUCUUGAGACUAGAAUUAAUAGAUCAUCGAUUUUGAUUUUGGAUCUGGAAUAUUUUGGUGUAGACCUAUUUCCUCCUAAAUCUAAAGCUUGUACUUCUUCAAUUAAUAUCAACCCUCUAUUUGAAAGAACUUGAGGUUGUCAAGUGACUUUGAUGAAUAUUCCACUAGGGAUCGAUUAAUCAAGAGUAGUUGAUAUUUUGACAAAGAAACUUGAUGUUCUUAUUCAAAAUUAAGACGUUGAUUUUUUAUUUAUGAGAGAGAGAAGUUUGAUUUACAUCAUCUAUAAAAGAAUAAGAUGAAAUUAUAUUGAUAAGUAGAACUAUUGGAAGACUGAGGUUAGUCUUCUAGUAGAGAAGAAUGUUGUUGGUUCUAUGAAUAAUCUGAAGGUAGCUACGUAAUUUUCAUCAGUGGGGUUUUCUAUUGUUGACAAUUCCUGGGAGAAUCUUGGGCAUCUUAAAUUUAGUAUUAACGGAUUGAUGGUUACUUGGUUGGACUUAGAUCUGGAAAGUUUUAACAUGGAUCUCCUAUUCCUAAUUCUAACAUUGUUAAUCUGGCUAUUUGAAAGGGCUUGAGGUUUUAUAAGACAAAGGUUGAUCAUUAUAUCAUGGAAAAAAAAAAUGAGGAGCAUUUGAUACUAAAGCUUUCUCCUACUUACAUUUAACCCAUUAAAUUUCUAUGUAGAAUUAAUAAAGAGCAAUUAAUUUCUUCGGAAAAAGAAUUAUGGCAUUUUAAUCCAAGGAUGGAAGGUUAGUCUUAAUUCUGAAAGAGAUCAAAAAAAAAAAAAAAAUCUUGCUAUGAAUCAUAUAUGGAAAGGAUUAAGUUUUGAGAUGCCAUGAUUUUGCCAAAAUCUUGUGAGCUUGCAUUUCGAGAUGGGGAUUGUUUAGGAGCUCGGGAAUGAUAUGAUGUUUCCAUAUUUUCAUAAUUUGAAACUUUAAGUGAGUUAAUUUCGAGGACGAAAUUAUUUUAAGGGGGGAAGAAUGUGAAACCCAAGCUUUGAACCGAACUGGGCCCGGUCCACUUGACCGGCCCAGCCACCAGUUCCGGCCUCACGUGCGUUGCACAUGAGGGCACACAGUGAGGAGGUGGAGGGGAUCCAUCUCGAAGAAGCCGGGAUCCCCUGUUUUAGGGCAUUCUCCUCCUCCCCUUUGAGACCAUUCGAGGUAGAGCCGCCACACCUGAGUUCUUCCUCCUCAGGCUGCCGGCAGAGAGAGAGAGAGAGCGAAAGAGAGAGGGAGAUAGAGGGCUUUGGGUCUUCUUCGGUACGAGGGGUCUUCUUCUUCCUUACCGCCGGAGAGGAAGAAAGCCGCCGGACUUUCGUCGGGGCUGAGGUAAGGCCUUCUCCUCCUCUCUUGGUGAUUAGCCAUGAUGUGCUGAGGUUUUGGAGCCGGCCAAUCGCCGGAAACUUGGGUCCAAAAAUCGGUCGGCCGAGUGCUCCGCCACUGGCCUUGUUCACCGCCGGGAGUGGCCGGGCUUGCUCCGCCACCUCCUGCCGCUGUCAGAGCCGGCCACCACGGCCGCCCUUGGGCCCGACCGAGAGGGAAGAAGAAGGGGGCAGGGGGGUCACGGAUCCCCUGUUUCGCCGAAGGGGAAGGAAGAAAGAAGUCGGGGGAAGUUUCUGGAGAAGAAGAGAAGAAAAGAAAAAGAAAAGGAAAGGAAAGAAAA